RNAcentral lists this ribosomal RNA (253 nucleotides) under uncultured bacterium. RNAcentral describes it as "partial 16S ribosomal RNA". It matches the Rfam family "Bacterial small subunit ribosomal RNA", at positions 524 to 776 of the family's 1533-position model. The record is from RNAcentral.
UACGAAGGGGGCUAGCGUUGUUCGGAAUUACUGGGCGUAAAGCGCGCGUAGGCGGUGAUCUUUGUCAGAGGUGAAAGCCCGGGGCUCAACUCCGGAAUUGCCUUUGAAACGGGAUCGCUAGAGUCCGAGAGAGGAUGGCGGAAUUCCUAGUGUAGAGGUGAAAUUCGUAGAUAUUAGGAAGAACACCAGUGGCGAAGGCGGCUCACUGGUCCGGUACUGACGCUGAGGUGCGAAAGCGUGGGGAGCAAACAGG